This 676-nucleotide long non-coding RNA is filed under the name Salmo salar (Atlantic salmon). RNAcentral's name for it is "lncRNA (ENSSSAG00000115121.1)". The record is from RNAcentral. Lineage: Eukaryota; Metazoa; Chordata; Actinopteri; Salmoniformes; Salmonidae.
CUCCAACCCUGUAGGUUUCCACUCCAACCCUGUUCCUGGAGAGCUACUGUCCUGUAGGUUUCCACUCCAACCCUGUUCCUGGAGAGCUACUGUCCCGUAGGUUUCCAUUCCAACCCUGUUCCUGGAGAGCUACUGUCCUGUAGGUUUCCACUCCAACCCUGUUCCUGGAGAGCUACUGUCCUGUAGGUUUCCACUCCAACCCUGUUCCUGGAGAGCUACUGUCCUGUAGGUUUCCACUCCAACCAUGUUCCUGGAGAGCUACUGUCCUGUAGGUUUCUACUCCAACCCUGUUCCUGGAGAGUUACUGUCCUUUAGGUUUCCACUCCAACCCUGUUCCUGGAGAGCUACGGUCCUGUAGGUUUCUACUCCAACCCUGUUCCUGGAGAGCUACUGUCCUGUAGGUUUCCACUCCAACCCUGUAGGUUUCCACUCCAACCCUGUUCCUGGAGAGCUACUGUCCUGUAGGUUUCCACUCCAACCCUGUUCCUGGAGAGCUACUGUCCUGUAGGUUUCUACUCCAACCCUGUUCCUGGAGAGCUACUGUCCUGUAGGUUUCUACUCCAAACCUGUUCCUGGAGAGCUACUGUCCUGUAGGUUUCCAUUCCAACCCUGUUCCUGGAGAGCUACUGUCCUGUAGGUUUCCACUCCAACCCUGUUCCUGGAGAGCUACUGUCCU